Molecule: ribosomal RNA, 465 nt
Filed under: Vreelandella stevensii
Lineage: Bacteria; Pseudomonadati; Pseudomonadota; Gammaproteobacteria; Oceanospirillales; Halomonadaceae
Description: partial 16S ribosomal RNA
Rfam family: Bacterial small subunit ribosomal RNA
Source: RNAcentral
CCUACGGGUGGCAGCAGUGGGGAAUAUUGGACAAUGGGGGGAACCCUGAUCCAGCCAUGCCGCGUGUGUGAAGAAGGCCCUCGGGUUGUAAAGCACUUUCAGUGAGGAAGAACGCCUGGUGGUUAAUACCCAUCAGGAAAGACAUCACUCACAGAAGAAGCACCGGCUAACUCCGUGCCAGCAGCCGCGGUAAUACGGAGGGUGCGAGCGCUAAUCGGAAUUACUGGGCGUAAAGCGCGCGUAGGUGGCUUGAUAAGCCGGUUGUGAAAGCCCCGGGCUCAACCUGGGAACGGCAUCCGGAACUGUCAAGCUAGAGUGCAGGAGAGGAAGGUAGAAUUCCCGGUGUAGCGGUGAAAUGCGUAGAGAUCGGGAGGAAUACCAGUGGCGAAGGCGGCCUUCUGGACUGACACUGACACUGAGGUGCGAAAGCGUGGGUAGCAAACAGGAUUAGAUACCCGAGUAGUC